Molecule: non-coding RNA, 104 nt
Organism: Pseudomonas putida
Lineage: Bacteria; Pseudomonadati; Pseudomonadota; Gammaproteobacteria; Pseudomonadales; Pseudomonadaceae
Source: Rfam
CGAUGAGGUCUUGAGAAAUUGCUGGGCUGUGUUAGUGUCAGUCUCACACCGGCCAUCUGCCGAACAUUCGAAAACCCCGCCCUUGGGCGGGGUUUUGCUUUAUG